RNAcentral lists this long non-coding RNA (1071 nucleotides) under Sus scrofa (pig). RNAcentral's name for it is "lncRNA (ENSSSCG00060001012.1)". The record is from RNAcentral. Lineage: Eukaryota; Metazoa; Chordata; Mammalia; Artiodactyla; Suidae.
UGCAACCUCAUGGUUCCUAGUCGGAUCCGUUAACCACUGAACCACUACGGGAACUCCAGGACACUUUCUUUUUAAAUUUUUUUUCUUUUUUUCUUUUUUCUUUUGCCUCCCCUGCAGCAUUUGGAAGUUUCCGGGCCAGGGAUCAAAUCUGAGCUGACUGCACCAGGGUGGGAUCUAACAGGUGCCUCCACAGAGACAAGCUAGAUCAUUAGCCCACUGAGCCACAGUAGGAACUCCCUAUUUUGGACACUUUCAAAGUAGUCAAACCAAUCUUCUAAUUUCUAUAAUAACAUCUUUGGAAUCAAGGUAAUUUUUGUUAAAUCUUUUUUUUUUUUUUCUUUCUGUGGAUUUAUGCUCAGAUGGUUUCAAAUGAACAACUCUGAGGGCUUGAAGAUACACAAGGCAACAUCCUUUACCUCGUUCUGGGAUCCAAAGCAGGAUCCAGAAUCACACUUAAUCUUGAGCUUCUCAGAUCCUUCUGGGCCAAAUUUAGAGCACAGGCCAUUCACAGACCAUUCUCCAGUCCAUCUGAGGUUAAGAAGAUUGAAAUGAGAGCCUCAAAGUGCUAGUUCCAGGACUGGAUCAGUCAUUAAUGAAAAGCUAGGCCUGUCCAGUGGAUGGUUGUGGGGAUCAAACUUGAAAGCACUCUGCAAAUGAUGGAGAACUCUCCUUUAGUGAGAUCAUUUAUUCAUUCAUCAAUCACCCAGAAAACCUUUCUUGAGUGCCAGCCACAUCUGAGACACUGGGUUAGGCACAGGCCCGCAUAGCUCAUGCUUCUCAGACCUAGCAGGUCUGGUCUUGCAAGGCCGACCAUUAAGUAUUUAUCAAAUACCUACCAGGGCCUAUGACACUAAUGAUGGGCUUACCAUCAGAGUGUAUGCCAUGAAUAUUCCACUUUGGGCCAGAGAGAGUUAAUGUGCUGUCACUGCCUCCCUGAUGCCUGGAGAGCCCACAUCACUCAGUGAAGACUACGGAUGCAUUAGGCUCAAUGUAUGUAUUUUCUUUUCCUCUCUGUUUAUGUCUCUGUUUUCUGUAAAGUCUCCUAAACUGCAGCAGUAUCUACCAAGUUCU